GACGAACGCUGGCGGCGCGCUUAACACAUGCAAGUCGAACGAUGAAGCCUAGCUUGCUAGGUGGAUUAGUGGCGAACGGGUGAGUAAUACGUGAGUAACCUACCUUUAACUCUGGGAUAAGCCUGGGAAACUGGGUCUAAUACCGGAUACGACCAAUCUCCGCAUGGGGUGUUGGUGGAAAGCGUUAUGUAGUGGUUAUAGAUGGGCUCACGGCCUAUCAGCUUGUUGGUGAGGUAACGGCUCACCAAGGCGACGACGGGUAGCCGGCCUGAGAGGGUGACCGGCCACACUGGGACUGAGACACGGCCCAGACUCCUACGGGAGGCAGCAGUGGGGAAUAUUGCACAAUGGGCGCAAGCCUGAUGCAGCGACGCCGCGUGAGGGAUGACGGCCUUCGGGUUGUAAACCUCUGUUAGCAGGGAAGAAGAGAAAUUGACGGUACCUGCAGAGAAAGCGCCGGCUAACUACGUG
This 471-nucleotide ribosomal RNA is filed under the name uncultured bacterium. RNAcentral describes it as "partial 16S ribosomal RNA". It matches the Rfam family "Bacterial small subunit ribosomal RNA", at positions 28 to 507 of the family's 1533-position model. The record is from RNAcentral.